Long non-coding RNA from Schistocerca gregaria, 4859 nucleotides. RefSeq lists it as uncharacterized. The transcript is spliced from 5 exons. The record is from RefSeq and is a predicted model, not a curated record. Lineage: Eukaryota; Metazoa; Arthropoda; Insecta; Orthoptera; Acrididae.
CCUUUCUUAUGAAACAUAAAUACUCUUUCCUUUUAUUUAUAUUUAAAUGUAACUCAUGUAUAAAUGUUUAUACAAGUUCUGAAGAAUAUCCUUAAUUGGUCAGGUUUCUCUCUUGUAUCUUUGUUGCUCUUUGAGAAGUCUUCUUGGUAUGCACUUGCAAAGUGCUUAUAAAUUGUAAAUUUCAUAACUGUAGCCACCGUUUUAAGUUUCCUUUGGUGUUUUGCAUGUUUUUAACAAUUUAUUCUUAGAACUGUAAGAAGUGUUUUUUUACAUUCAGUAUAGUAAUAAGUCACACAAAAUAACAACAGUUGUAAGUGUAACAUUUUAAUAGCAUAGCUCCAUGUCACUUCUUAUGUUUUAAAAAAUGCAUUAUUCAAUGUAGCAUCUGCAUUCACAUAGAUGAUAAUGGUACAUUUUACAUAUAUUUCAUAUUAUUUUCACAAAGUAAAGUGUCUAUUUCAUAUAUCGAAUUAUAAAUUGUCUGUAAAAUUUGAGUCUCCACGUGCACAAAAUAUUUACACCUGCAAAUUGCACAUGAGCCAACAAGAUCAGUAGCCUAGCAAUUUGUGCAGCAUAAGACAGCAAAGGCAUGACAUUACAGCAAAUAGUCUGGAAUUUAAUUUGAAUUGUAAUUGGUUGUGGUGAUACAAAACUGUUCAAAUGAAACUUACACCGAUACAGCUUUUAUGUAGGAUACUUAAAAGGGGUGAAAUGGAAAAUGAGUAAUUACUCAACUACAAAAAGAGCAAAAUGGAGCUAUUCAGAAUAGAAGGAAGAAUGUUCCUUAGAGAUUUUUUAAAGUGGAAAUUAUUGAAGUAGUGUGUUGUUGAAAUCGUGACAUUAUAUGAAAUAAACACUGAAAUAAUUUUAUGUUAAAUUUGUUGAGGUAAACACAGAGGGUGUUUAAAAAAAGUUUUGCACAGUCUCUAAUUUUUAUUUUUUACAGGAGGAGAAUGAAAUUUUUUGUGAACAUAUAUGGAACAUUGAGCUAUACAUUAAGCCUACUCAAUAUAGCCUCCUGCAGGUGUGACUCACGUGGCCCAACCUUCUUUCAAUGAUGUAAAUGCACUUAGGUAAAAUUCUGGGGAUUGACUUUUAUAACAUUGCUUGACACAGGAAAUAAGGUUUUUCUCAAUAUCAAAUGUUUUACCAUCCAGGUGGCCAGAGGGGUAAAACUCUGGCGAAGCCAAGUCCAGACUGUAGGGAGGAUGAGGAACAAUUGUCCAACCAAUUUUCGUGAUUUUCUCCUACGUCAUAAGGGCUGCAUUGGGUUUGGCAUUGUCAUGGUGUAGUCUGAUGAGCUGACCCUGGAGGUGUGGUCUGUGGGUCUUGAAGGCACGUCGCAGCUUGUCCAAUGACAAACCGUAAUGGCUCUAGUUAAUUGUGGAGCCAGGUUCCAAAAAGUCAUUGAAAAUUACACCACAUUGAUCCCUGAAGGAGACUCUCACCUUCCGUGGAAGUCUUGGUUUCUUCUUCCGAGGGGAAUGCGGAUGAUGCUCCAUGUAUUGGAUUUUGCCCUCGGGUUCAGACGAAAACAACCAUGUUUCAUCCUGGGGAAUGACACCAUCAAAACAGUUUCCACUCUUCAGUAACAGUCUUCACGAGACUGUUGCACACAUUCCUCCUCAUCGUUUUCAUUUGUCAUGUCUGUAAUCUAGGCAUCCAAUGUGCACAGAAUUUUCUGUACCCUGGUGACUGUACCAGUGAUACUACACUACUCAAUAACAUGUCAUUUCAGCAAGCUGUAGUCUUGUCAAACAUCUGUCAAUUUGGAUGAUGUGAUCAAUGUCUCCUUAUUCACAUCAGUCACUGCCCUCCAUGGUCUACCGCAUCGUGGAUUGUUCAGUAGAAAGGAAUCACCUUUAAAUCUCUGCAACCACCGCUGGAUACUGCUGCGUCUACUGUGUCCUCUCCAUAAACAGGGAGCAACUUCCUGUGACUCGAACUGGCAGUUGUUGCCAGUCUUGAAGAAGAACUCAAUGUGGACCAUUGUCACAACCUGACAUCUACUUCACAGUCCAUUAUGGUUCACCUGUAAAUAAAAAUUACUUUUAUAUACCAACUUGUAGUUACAUGUUCAAAGUAUGUUCACAAAAAAUUUCAUUGUCCUGCAAAAAUAAAAGAAAUUAGAAGACCGUGCAAGACUUUCUGAACACCUUUUGCAGCUCUGCCUAGAAUACAUCAAGUGGAUUACUUCCUCAUUUUGAAUACCGAAAUGUAAUGCCUAAAAAGAACGAUGUAUCAAAAUAUACCUGAAAUUAUGCGCAAGAAGUUGUGGCAUAGUGAAUUCAGAAGUUGCACAAAAUAUUGAAUAGCACUUGCAAGAAGUAUAAUUAAAGAUGUGCCAGCGGUAUAAAAAGGUGUCUAAGUAGACUUUCAUACUUCUGGUAUGAAAAGACUUAAGUUUUGAUAAUGUAUCACAACAUUUCAUGUAAAGGGGCAGUGUGUUAAAAUCCUUAGCCACUGUCUUAAGUUUGUUUUUCACAGUGUUCCUAAAUCAGUUCAGUGUAACAAUAAGAUGAUUUCCUUAAAAAGGUUGUGCAACUUAAUGUUGAAGGAAUAAUCUUCUCAUAACUUGUGCGAGGUAGCUGGUUAGGGAGCAGACUAUUCUGGUAACUGUUCAUUUGAGAGCAGUCACAAAUGGUAGUAUAUUGUGAUUUCACUGCCAUUAGUAUGUCUGCACCUUUGAGUAAACAUUUGAUAAUGGCUAUAUAUACACAAAUACUAUUUGUGGGAGUAACAAGUGCUGUAACUAAAUAUUACUGCUUCAGUGAACCAUGUCACUCUCAUUUUGAAACAAAGCACAACACAGAAUUUGUCUUUAAAGUAAAUAGGAAGACUGAAAAAAUCCAAAUGUGGAUGGUCAGGCAGUUGGAGGCUUCCUAAAUAACAUGAAAUGAUGAUUUCCUUUAAGAAUCUGGAUUUGUGGUGCUAUGAGAUUUUGAAAGGAUACUGUACAAUUUUCUGAACUGACAUUGUAUUAAUAAUCUACAGCCAAUACUAUUACUAAUAUAAAUAUUGCUGUGGAAAGAAAGAAAACUAGGUAACAAAUUCUGAGCCCUGUAAAAUUCUUUGCAGGAAGAGACGAGCUCUCACUGCCUUUAACAUUAUACACAUUUAUACUUUGUCUUUAAAACAGCUUAUUUUCUGGUCUGGAAAUCCUGUAAGUGCACCAGUUUGUUCAUUCUCCACUUGUGUGUGAAUCAGAUGCUACAGUGAUGAAAAGUAACAAUUUGUUUUAUAAAAGCAAAAUGACUAAUCUUAAUUUUCAGUCAUUGAAAAAUUGUUCAGUUUAAUGCCAACAGUUCCCACACAAGUGUAAAAACUGUUCAAAAAGUAAUUAUGGCUGAUAAUGUAAUUUGUCACAUACAUAAUAUAGAGUAAUUACGAACAUCAUCAUAAUAUUACUAGGAAAUAGGUGCUGUCUUGACGACUAAAUACUCUUCAAACAAGUAUUUGAGAAGUCUUCAGAAAAACUUGUUCUUAAAAUUGAAUGCAUGGCAGAAUAUGAUGCUGUUAAAAGCUGGUGUCUUAACAAAUUCACUGUAAAGUAAUAGUUCGUUAAUAACAACAAAUUUUGUAAAUAGUCAUAUAAGCUUCAUUUGUUUUUCUGGAGUUUUAAAAUGUGGAGGCUUCCCUGGUGUAAUGUCUCAGAUUUUUGGUUGUUGAAUACUUAAUUUUAGCUUCAUAUGCAGACAAAAUUUCUGUGCUUUCAGAAUCCCACUUGUCAUUUGUUUAUAAAUUUUCCACUCCAUUGUAAUCCUGUAGUGCGACAGUAGCAGUUCUGUAACACAAGCAGCAGUGGUAUAUCUACAUUGUAUAGGCAAGUUGAGCUGAUCCACAUUGCCCACUCUUUGUAAUAGUGCACUGCCACUGAUAAGAUGACAUUGCUUUCAGAUGCUCUUUCAACCAUUCUGGAUGCUCUUUCAACCAUUCUGCUCAUACUUGUUGGUUUGCCUUUGAAUUUGAAAAUAUAUUCUCAACACAGACUUAAUCACACAAGGUGCAUGGAUUAAUCAUCUAUUGGAUGUUCUGUUUAUGGGUGGUUGGAAUUGUGGUCAUCAGUUGGAGUUUGAAAGGCUACAAAGACGGCUGCUCGGCAAAUAAGCUGAACCUUACUUUCUUGGGGUGUAAGUGGGAGUUACUCCCAUGUUUGAGGAUACCCUCUGAGAAGCAGUAGCAUGGAAGUUCUCCAAGGAAAUUUUAAAACAGCUGAUCAUUGACAACUGGGGAAAAUAUUUCACUAAGUGCUGCUUAGCCUGUAAGGUUAUCAACCUGUUUCAUAGUGCACCAGUCUGCCUAUAAAUUCAAGGAGAUGGGUUUUGCAUGUUGUGGAAGAUUCACUGACUUGAUCGUUUGGAUUAUAUAUUCUGAUCAGGAAUGCACAUAAAGCCACCGGUCCAAAAUGAGGCAAUAAAAUAUGCGAUGCAGUUCGCCAUAUGAUGACACCAGGGAGCACAUAUAAACAUAGUGGAUUGAUAAUAUAUACCGUAUAAAUUAGAAUUGAUUACACCAGAUUCUGGAAGUGAGGAAUGAAAUAUGGACAAAUGAAACAAUCGCUCAGGCUAAACUCAGCUGGAAAAGUUAUCUGCAGUUUCUGAAAUUGGGCUAGAAGUCGUGCUUAAAUAAUUUCGACAGUCCCAGUGACUUCAAUCAUAUGGUAGCUCAUGUUGGAAUGUGAAGUUUUGGGGCCAAAGGUGCCAGUCUCGGAGUAUGUGUUUCUUCUAUAAGGCAAUAAAUAAGUAAAAUUUACACACUGGUAAUGAAUUGUAUAAUGUGGACAUAAUUUUAUAACAGUACAAGUGGAAGAUUAUUUAAAAUCGUAGUGUAAAGACAUUAAAAGAGUCAAAAUGGAAUAA